GACGAACGCUGGCGGCGUGCUUAACACAUGCAAGUCGAACGGAAAGGCCCUGCUUUUGUGGGGUGCUCGAGUGGCGAACGGGUGAGUAACACGUGAGUAACCUGCCCUUGACUUUGGGAUAACUUCAGGAAACUGGGGCUAAUACCGGAUAGGAGCUCCUGCUGCAUGGUGGGGGUUGGAAAGUUUCGGCGGUUGGGGAUGGACUCGCGGCUUAUCAGCUUGUUGGUGGGGUAGUGGCUUACCAAGGCUUUGACGGGUAGGCGGCCUGAGAGGGUGACCGGCCACAUUGGUACUGCGAUACGGCCCAGACUCCUAUGGGCGGCAGCAGUGGGGAAUAUGGCACAAUGGGCGCAAGCCUGAUGCAGCGACGCCGCGUUCGGGAUGACGGCCUUCGGGUUGUAAACCGCUUUCGCCUGUGACGAAGCGUGAGUGACGGUAAUGGGUAAAGAAGCACCGGCUAACUACGUG
Molecule: ribosomal RNA, 468 nt
Filed under: uncultured bacterium
Lineage: Bacteria
Description: partial 16S ribosomal RNA
Rfam family: Bacterial small subunit ribosomal RNA
Source: RNAcentral